AAGCAUAUCAAUAAGCGGAGGAAAAGAAACUAACAAGGAUUCCCCUAGUAACUGCGAGUGAAGCGGGAAAAGCUCAAAUUUAAAAUCUGGUGGUCUUUGGCCAUCCGAGUUGUAGUCUGGAGAAGUGCUUUCCGCGUUGGACCGUGUACAAGUCUCUUGGAACAGAGCGUCAUAGAGGGUGAGAAUCCCGUCUUUGACACGGACUACCAAUGCUUUGUGAUGCGCUCUCAAAGAGUCGAGUUGUUUGGGAAUGCAGCUCAAAAUGGGUGGUAAAUUCCAUCUAAAGCUAAAUAUUGGCGAGAGACCGAUAGCGAACAAGUACCGUGAGGGAAAGAUGAAAAGCACUUUGGAAAGAGAGUUAAACAGUACGUGAAAUUGCUGAAAGGGAAACGCUUGAAGUCAGUCGCGUUGGCCGGAACUCAGCCUUGCUUUUGCUAGGUGCACUUUCUGGUUGACGGGCCAGCAUCAAUUUUGAUUGUUGGAUAAAGGUUGGGGGAAUGUGGCACCUUCGGGUGUGUUAUAGCCCUCAGUCACAUACAACAGUUGGGAUUGAGGAUCUCAGCACGCCUUUAUGGCCGGGGUUCGCCCACGUUCGUGCUUAGGAUGCUGGCAUAAUGGCUUUAAACGACCCGUCUUGAAACACGGACCAAGGAGUCUAACAUGCCUGCGAGUGUUUGGGUGGAAAACCCGAGCGCGUAAUGAAAGUGAAAGUUGGGAUCUCUGUCAUGGAGAGCACCGACGCCCGGACCUGACCUUCUGUGACGGCUCCGCGGUAGAGCAUGUAUGUUGGGACCCGAAAGAUGGUGAACUAUGCCUGAAUAGGGUGAAGCCAGAGGAAACUCUGGUGGAGGCUCGUAGCGAUUCUGACGUGCAAAUCGAUCGUCAAAUUUGGGUAUAGGGGCGAAAGACUAAUCGAACCAUCUAGUAGCUGGUUCCUGCCG
Molecule: ribosomal RNA, 941 nt
Filed under: Amyloporia xantha
Lineage: Eukaryota; Fungi; Basidiomycota; Agaricomycetes; Polyporales; Adustoporiaceae
Description: LSU rRNA
Rfam family: Eukaryotic large subunit ribosomal RNA
Source: RNAcentral